GAUGAACGCUGGCGGCGUGCCUAAUACAUGCAAGUCGAGCGAACAGACGAGGAGCUUGCUCCUCUGACGUUAGCGGCGGACGGGUGAGUAACACGUGGAUAACCUACCUAUAAGACUGGGAUAACUUCGGGAAACCGGAGCUAAUACCGGAUAAUAUAUUGAACCGCAUGGUUCAAUAGUGAAAGACGGUUUUGCUGUCACUUAUAGAUGGAUCCGCGCCGCAUUAGCUAGUUGGUAAGGUAACGGCUUACCAAGGCAACGAUGCGUAGCCGACCUGAGAGGGUGAUCGCCCACACUGGAACUGAGACACGGUCAAGACUCCUACGGGAGGCAGCAGUAGGGAAUCUUCCGCAAUGGGCGAAAGCCUGACGGAGCAACGCCGCGUGAGUGAUGAAGGUCUUCGGAUCGUAAAACUCUGUUAUUAGGGAAGAACAAAUGUGUAAGUAACUAUGCACGUCUUGACGGUACCUAAUCAGAAAGCCACGGCUAACUACGUG
This 497-nucleotide ribosomal RNA is filed under the name uncultured bacterium. RNAcentral's name for it is "partial 16S ribosomal RNA". It matches the Rfam family "Bacterial small subunit ribosomal RNA", at positions 28 to 507 of the family's 1533-position model. The record is from RNAcentral.